CCUACGGGUGGCAGCAGUGAGGAAUAUUGGUCAAUGGGCGCGAGCCUGAACCAGCCAAGUAGCGUGAAGGAUGACUGCCCUACGGGUUGUAAACUUCUUUUAUAAAGGAAUAAAGUGAGGCACGUGUGCCUUUUUGUAUGUACUUUAUGAAUAAGGAUCGGCUAACUCCGUGCCAGCAGCCGCGGUAAUACGGAGGAUCCGAGGGUUAUCCGGAUUUAUUGGGUUUAAAGGGAGCGUAGAGGGGUUGUUAAGUAAGGUGUGAAAGUUUGCGGCUCAACCGUAAAAUUGCCAUUGAUACUGGCAGCCUUGAGUACAUUUGAGGUAGGCGGAAUUCGUGGUGUAGCGGUGAAAUGCUUAGAUAUCACGAAGAACUCCGAUUGCGAAGGCAGCUUACUAAACUGCCACUGACAUUGAUGCUCGAAAGUGUGGGUAUCAAACAGGAUUAGAUACCCCAGUAGUC
RNAcentral lists this ribosomal RNA (460 nucleotides) under uncultured bacterium. RNAcentral's name for it is "partial 16S ribosomal RNA". It matches the Rfam family "Bacterial small subunit ribosomal RNA", at positions 338 to 795 of the family's 1533-position model. The record is from RNAcentral.